RNAcentral lists this ribosomal RNA (599 nucleotides) under uncultured bacterium. Its description in RNAcentral is "bacterial SSU rRNA". It matches the Rfam family "Bacterial small subunit ribosomal RNA", at positions 9 to 609 of the family's 1533-position model. The record is from RNAcentral.
GAGUUUGAUCAUGGCUCAGGAUGAACGCUAGCGGCAGGCUUAACACAUGCAAGUCGAGGGGUAUAGUUCUUCGGAAUUAGAGACCGGCGCACGGGUGCGUAACGCGUAUGCAAUCUACCUUUCACAGAGGGAUAGCCCAGAGAAAUUUGGAUUAAUACCUCAUAGUAUAACGACUCCGCAUGGAGAUGUUAUUAAAGUCACAACGGUGAAAGAUGAGCAUGCGUCCCAUUAGCUAGUUGGUAAGGUAACGGCUUACCAAGGCUACGAUGGGUAGGGGUCCUGAGAGGGAGAUCCCCCACACUGGUACUGAGACACGGACCAGACUCCUACGGGAGGCAGCAGUGAGGAAUAUUGGACAAUGGGCGCAAGCCUGAUCCAGCCAUGCCGCGUGCAGGAUGACGGUCCUAUGGAUUGUAAACUGCUUUUGCACAGGAAGAAACAACGCUACGUGUAGCGUCUUGACGGUACUGUGAGAAUAAGGAUCGGCUAACUCCGUGCCAGCAGCCGCGGUAAUACGGAGGAUCCAAGCGUUAUCCGGAAUCAUUGGGUUUAAAGGGUCCGUAAGCGGUUUAGUAAGUCAGUGGUGAAAGCCCAUCGCU